Molecule: ribosomal RNA, 594 nt
Filed under: Phyllachora sp.
Lineage: Eukaryota; Fungi; Ascomycota; Sordariomycetes; Phyllachorales; Phyllachoraceae
Description: eukaryotic LSU rRNA
Rfam family: Eukaryotic large subunit ribosomal RNA
Source: RNAcentral
AAUGCGGAGGAACAAGAAACCAACAGGGAUUGCCCUAGUAACGGCGGAGUGAAGCGGCAAUAGCUCAAAUUUGAAAUCUGCCCUCGGGCCGAGUUGUAAUUUGCAGAGGAUGCUUUUGGCGCGGUGCCCCCCUGAGUCCCCUGGAACGGGGCGCCAGAGAGGGUGAGAGCCCCGUACAGUUGGACGCCAAGCCAGUGUAAAGCUCCUUCAACGAGUCGAGUAGUUUGGGAAUGCUGCUCAAAACGGGAGGUAAAUUCCUUCUAAAGCUAAAUACCUGCCAGAGACCGAUAGCGCACAAGUAGAGUGAUCGAAAGAUGAAAAGCACUUUGAAAAGAGAGUUAAACAGCACGUGAAAUUGUUGAAAGGGAAGCGCCUAUGACCAGACUUGCGCCGGGUCGAUCUCCCGCCGUUCUCGGCGGUGUACUCGGCCCGGUUCAGGCGGCAGGCCAUUAUCGGUUUCCGCAGGGGGAUAAAAGCUCCGGGAAUGUGACUCCCCUCGGGAGUGUUAUAGCCCGGGGCAUAAUACCCCUGCUGGGACCGAGGACCGCGCCCUCGCGAGGAUGCUGGCGUAAUGGUCAUCAGCGACCCGUCUUG